RNAcentral lists this ribosomal RNA (371 nucleotides) under uncultured bacterium. RNAcentral describes it as "bacterial SSU rRNA". It matches the Rfam family "Bacterial small subunit ribosomal RNA", at positions 521 to 896 of the family's 1533-position model. The record is from RNAcentral.
UAAUACGGAGGAUCCAAGCGUUAUCCGGAAUCAUUGGGUUUAAAGGGUCCGUAGGCGGUUUAAUAAGUCAGUGGUGAAAGCCCAUCGCUCAACGGUGGAACGGCCAUUGAUACUGUUAAACUUGAAUUAUUAGGAAGUAACUAGAAUAUGUAGUGUAGCGGUGAAAUGCUUAGAGAUUACAUGGAAUACCAAUUGCGAAGGCAGGUUACUACUAAUGGAUUGACGCUGAUGGACGAAAGCGUGGGUAGCGAACAGGAUUAGAUACCCUGGUAGUCCACGCCGUAAACGAUGGAUACUAGCUGUUGGGUGCAAACUCAGUGGCUAAGCGAAAGUGAUAAGUAUCCCACCUGGGGAGUACGUUCGCAAGAAUG